Molecule: long non-coding RNA, 2186 nt
Organism: Triticum aestivum (bread wheat)
Lineage: Eukaryota; Viridiplantae; Streptophyta; Magnoliopsida; Poales; Poaceae
Exons: 5
Source: RefSeq, a predicted model, not a curated record
GCUCCCGUCCCCGAAAGAAAAAAGCGAGCGCUCCACACGGGGGUCGAUACAGAGGAGGGGAUCGGUCAUCGGCGACAGAGGGAUCGAGCCGCGCCUGAUGCAGGCGACGAGGUCGAUCGAUCCAGCCGACGCGCGCGCAUUGCGGCCGACGCGGGCGAUCGCCUGCGAGGGGAUCGAGCUGUCGGUGCAAGACGGGAUCCAGCGGACGCACACAUUGCGGGGUGACUCGGUGGGCGCUCGAUCCAGCCGACACUGUCGAUUGGGCUUCGAGGGACAAAGGGAAGGGACGCGAGCGAUGAAGGCCGACGCCUCAGCUGAUCGAAACUGCUCCGCGGUACUUAUAGACGCAAUAAUAAUUCAGUUUAUGAGCCCACAUUCACGCCGAGGGUUACAGAGGUACUCCCUCCGUAAACUAAUAUAAGAGUGUUUAGAUGACUAUUUUAGUGAUCUAAACGCUCUUAUAUUAGUUUACUGAGGGAGUAUAUGCCUAUAUAUGCUUCCUCCCCUGCCACUCUUCGCUCACCCUGAUGCUGGGUAGGUUUCCUCUUUUCAGUUCAUGUAAGAUUCAGUGCCAAGCAAUUACAUUAUUCUGGCAUCUUUGAGCAUGAUACUCGGGUAGGUUGCCUCUUUUCAGUUCAGGCUGUCUAUACUCGACUGAUUUGGGCACAUCUUAGAGCUUGGUACUGGGAUUAUUUGUUCGGCAGUUCAUAAUAUGAAUUGGCUUUUGGACAGCAUGCAAGAGAAAAUCCCCUUAACCAUGUUCUGUUCUGCUCUGCUCAUGUUCUGAUUAUGUUAAUCAUCUGGCCAGUUGACAAGGGAACCUACCCUGAAUCUCUUCCUAUGAUCUUAUUCAACUUGUGAGUUGCACUCGCGCCGAAAACAAAUUGGAUCGUGGGCGGAGCACAUAAUUGCGAAGUGGAGCUGCUCAGAUCGCUGUCGUUCUAGACUGAUCCUCCAAAUAUUGCAGGAAAAAAGUAGAUCAUGCCGAUGGCAGUGGCCGGCGUCACUUCCUCGAUUCUCAACGGGUCUGUGUAUUUCACCUUCUGUGCAUCGCCUACUUUCUACAAUAAGUUAAUUACUCGAUUUGGUCUCCGUGAUGUCGAAUGGGAGAGGAAGACGAGAGGCUGAGCACGAAAGCAUGCCAAGGAGAGUUGAACUCAUCACAUAUGUGUUUGGGCCCUCCCCACCUCGACCUCUACCGGCGGUGCCCUUCUCAUGGUUACAGCAGCGUCUAUAUAUUUAGGAAACUUUCGAUCGUUAUAUGGUCCAAAUGGACGGGCGUGGCAACGUGGUUAGAAGCAUCUCUACAAGGAGGAAUUCGAGCUAUGUGCUGCUUGGUUUCUUUUGUUCUUCCAGCUGAAUCUGCCGGCAUACAAUAGCUAACGGACAGGCCAGUAUCAGUAUGCUCUUAUGCCUCAUCUCACUAUCUUAGUUGUACUAUGUACCCUUUAUUCGUAUGAUAUGAUUUCACUCUCUAUGAUUGUUUGAAAUAAUCAAAGUACACAUACUGUUCCUGCCCUAUGUAGCAGGUUAUUGAGCAAGGGAAAAAUGCGCAAAAGAAAGACAAAUGUCGUACAAGGCCUGAGGGAUCAAAUAAAAAUAUUGUUCUUCCCAGACCAAAAUGAACAAAACGUACCUAUUAUAAACUUGCAGACCAACCUUCUUAUUACCACAAGCUUAUUUUUACACUGUCCUGCCCAGGUACAAGGUGGGUCUUAUUGAUGCUGAUGAAUUAGGGGAACCUGAGUUUGUGUUCUUUGCUUCAGUUGCUGAACAAGCUAUUGGCAAGAGACUUGAAGUUAUCAUGCACGGUGCAUCAGACAGCCCAUUUGUUGUUCCUGCAGAGUUAUCAGUCUUGAUAUCAGAAAUUCACACUUCCCUUAACUAUCAAUGAGAAGGGCCUUAACCACGGGCAACUCUCUUUCUAAGUGAACGGAACAUCAACAGAGACAUCUGUGUAAGCUAGCAAGAUGGAUAAUCCUACCAAUGAACACAUUCCAGGAACUGUUGAAGCAUGACAGAAGGCCCAGUCCAAGAUCAUACUUCCAGAUGAAUUUAGAAAUGCCAGCCCGACAACAAAUCUAAUAGCCCAAUAUCCUUGCCUUGUUUAAUCCUCCUGUCAUCUCAUGUAUACCUCUGGCUUUCAAUAUUCAAUAAAGGAUGGAGCUACACAACUAAAAACAAAA